RNAcentral lists this ribosomal RNA (788 nucleotides) under uncultured Lactobacillus sp. Its description in RNAcentral is "bacterial SSU rRNA". It matches the Rfam family "Bacterial small subunit ribosomal RNA", at positions 28 to 776 of the family's 1533-position model. The record is from RNAcentral. Lineage: Bacteria; Bacillati; Bacillota; Bacilli; Lactobacillales; Lactobacillaceae.
GACGAACGCUGGCGGCGUGCCUAAUACAUGCAAGUCGAGCGAGCUUGCCUAGAUGAAUUUGGUGCUUGCACCAGAUGAAACUAGAUACAAGCGAGCGGCGGACGGGUGAGUAACACGUGGGUAACCUGCCCAAGAGACUGGGAUAACACCUGGAAACAGAUGCUAAUACCGGAUAACAACACUAGACGCAUGUCUAGAGUUUAAAAGAUGGUUCUGCUAUCACUCUUGGAUGGACCCGCGGUGCAUUAGCUAGUUGGUAAGGUAACGGCUUACCAAGGCAAUGAUGCAUAGCCGAGUUGAGAGACUGAUCGGCCACAUUGGGACUGAGACACGGCCCAAACUCCUACGGGAGGCAGCAGUAGGGAAUCUUCCACAAUGGACGCAAGUCUGAUGGAGCAACGCCGCGUGAGUGAAGAAGGGUUUCGGCUCGUAAAGCUCUGUUGGUAGUGAAGAAAGAUAGAGGUAGUAACUGGCCUUUAUUUGACGGUAAUUACUUAGAAAGUCACGGCUAACUACGUGCCAGCAGCCGCGGUAAUACGUAGGUGGCAAGCGUUGUCCGGAUUUAUUGGGCGUAAAGCGAGUGCAGGCGGUUCAAUGAGUCUGAUGUGAAAGCCUUCGGCUCAACCGGAGAAUUGCAUCAGAAACUGUUGAACUUGAGUGCAGAAGAGGAGAGUGGAACUCCAUGUGUAGCGGUGGAAUGCGUAGAUAUAUGGAAGAACACCAGUGGCGAAUGCGGCUCUCUGGUCUGCAACUGACGCUGAGGCUCGAAAGCAUGGGUAGCGAACAGG